Molecule: ribosomal RNA, 537 nt
Filed under: uncultured Flavobacteriales bacterium
Lineage: Bacteria; Pseudomonadati; Bacteroidota; Flavobacteriia; Flavobacteriales
Description: partial 16S ribosomal RNA
Rfam family: Bacterial small subunit ribosomal RNA
Source: RNAcentral
UCUGAACCAGCCAUGCCGCGUGCAGGAAGAAUGCCCUAUGGGUUGUAAACUGCUUUUAUGUAAGAAGAAACCCCUCUACGUGUAGAGGGCUGACGGUAUUACAAGAAUAAGCACCGGCUAACUCCGUGCCAGCAGCCGCGGUAAUACGGAGGGUGCRAGCGUUAUCCGGAUUUAUUGGGUUUAAAGGGUCCGYAGGCGGAWRAWUAAGUCAGKGGUGAAAUCCUACAGCUUAACUGUAGAAYUGCCWUUGAUACUGRWUUUCUUGAGUWUAGUUGARGUGRGCGGAAUGUGUCAUGUAGCGGUGAAAUGCAUAGAUAUGACACAGAACACCGAUUGCGAAGGCAGCUCACUAAACUAUUACUGACGCUCAGGGACGAAAGCGUGGGGAGCGAACAGGAUUAGAUACCCUGGUAGUCCACGCCGUAAACGAUGAUUACUCGAUAUUGGCGAUAUACGGUCAGUGUCUAAGCGAAAGUGAUAAGUWAUCCACCUGGGGAGUACGUUGGCAACAAUGAAACUCAAAGGAAUUGACGGGGG